Long non-coding RNA from Acipenser ruthenus (sterlet), 267 nucleotides. RefSeq lists it as uncharacterized. NCBI's taxonomy places the organism in Eukaryota, Metazoa, Chordata, Actinopteri, Acipenseriformes, Acipenseridae. The transcript is spliced from 3 exons. The record is from RefSeq and is a predicted model, not a curated record.
AGAUACUGAAGAACCAAUUUACUGUAAUACUGACACAAGCAAGCAAAACAAGAAAAAGAAAGGCAAACCCACAGCAGAUAAUGCAGAGGCCAUGAAUGUCACAGUCCUCCCAAAGAAGAAAAGGAAGUAAAUGAAGGGGGUCCCCAGGAGUGAGAGCCAGCCUGAAUCCAGGAGACACUGAGAAGGGGAGCGUGUCAAACUGAAGGAGACAGACCCAUUCUUUCAGAAUGAACUGGAGAGCCCUGGGAUUCAGCUCCACUCCUGCCC